UGCCUUGAACUCAGAGAUCUGCUUGCCUCU
This 30-nucleotide non-coding RNA is filed under the name Rattus norvegicus (Norway rat). The record is from RNAcentral. Lineage: Eukaryota; Metazoa; Chordata; Mammalia; Rodentia; Muridae.